UGGGGGAUAUUGCACAAUGGGCGAAAGCCUGUUGCAGCGACGCCGCGUGGGGGAUGAAGGCCUUCGGGUUGUAAACUUCUUUUGCUCUGAACAAGGCAUGCUAAUGGGUGUGUUGGGUGUAGGGGUUGAUUAGCGCCGGCUAACUACGUGCCAGCAGCCGCGGUAAUACGUAGGGCGCGAGCGUUGUCCGGAAUUAUUGGGCGUAAAGGGCUUGUAGGUGGCUGGUUGUGUCUGUCGUGAAAGCUCAUGGCUUAACUGUGGGUUUGCGGUGGGUACGGGCUGGCUUGAGUGCAGUAGGGGAGGCUGGAAUUCCUGGUGUAGCGGUGGAAUGCGCAGAUAUCAGGAGGAAUACCGGUGGCGAAGGCGGGUCUCUGGGCUGUUACUGACACUGAGGAGCGAAAGCAUGGGGAGCGAACAGG
This 419-nucleotide ribosomal RNA is filed under the name bacterium. RNAcentral's name for it is "partial 16S ribosomal RNA". It matches the Rfam family "Bacterial small subunit ribosomal RNA", at positions 355 to 776 of the family's 1533-position model. The record is from RNAcentral.